Molecule: long non-coding RNA, 1342 nt
Filed under: Equus asinus (donkey)
Lineage: Eukaryota; Metazoa; Chordata; Mammalia; Perissodactyla; Equidae
Description: lncRNA (ENSEASG00005012807.2)
Source: RNAcentral
CAGAAGAGAAAGUCAGAGAUUCGAAGCCCGAGGAUGCCAAGUACCUUUGCUGGCUUCGAGAUCGAAGGGCCGUGUAGCAAGGAUGUGGGUAGACUCUAGAGCUGAGAGCGAGCUGACACUCAGCAAGGAAACAGGACCUCAGUCCUACAAUCUCAAAGACCUGAAUUCUGCUGAGAACAAGGAUGCCCUUAAACAUGGAUUUUUUUCCAGAGGCCCCCAAAAAUCUUGGCCUGACCCUCAUCUUCUGAGCAGAAAACCCAGCUAUGCUGUGAUUGGACUUCUGACCUACACAACUCUGAGCUUAUGAAGAGGCUCUUCGGGGUCACUCAGGGGAAGGAAGCCUGUGCUGCUCCCACCCAGAGGGCCUGCCUUGGAGUGCUUUGCAUGCUGCCUCACCCCGCCAGCACUGCCUCUGCACAGCCUGGACCUCCUCAGAAAGGACUAGAUGCUGGACUCUACAUCCAGGAAAGAAGCCACUAGCACCUCUGCCAUAUAACAAUUUGAGGAUUUGCAGACCUAGCUUGAAGUCAAAAGGCAAGGAAGAUUAGCCCUGAGCUAACUGCUGCCAAUCCUCCUCUUUUUGCUGAGAAAGACUGGCCCUGAGCUAACAUCUGUGCCCAUCUUCCUCUACUUUACGUGUGGGACGCCUGCCGCAGCAUGGCUUGUCAAGUGGUGCCAUGUCCCCACCCGGAACCCGAACUGGCGAACCCUGGGCUGCUGAGAAGCAGAACGUGGGCACUUAACUGCUGUGCCACGGGGCUGGCCUGAGAAUCUUUCACAUUCUGAGAGAACUACGAAAGAAGAUUGAGGACUGGAAAUAGAAUUGUUUAGAUAUAAAUCUGCACUUAUGCCCAAUUCUUUCUCUUCGAUUACUACAAAAUUUCCUGAUCAUUCACUCUUUCUGUCAUUUCCCAGCUCCAGAAAUGAAGUCUACAGCCAGCGGUUGGCCUUCUGUGCACCUGGUGAGUCUUAACUAACACCAAGGAGCCAACAAGGGGAGAGGUUGUAAUUUUGGAAGAGCAAAGGGUAGAUAAAGACUGUCUGUGGAUGCAUUUGAGUAAAGAUCUUUAGAAUGCAAGAGAGCAAGCUAUACAGGUAUCUGAGGGAAAAGCAUUUCCAGCAGAAGGAAUAGAAAAUGCAAAGUCUUUGAGGCACGUUUGAGGAAGGGAAGAAAGCUAGAAUGGCUGGAGCAGAGUAAGCUAGAGGCAGAAUAGUAGAAGUGGAUUAUAAAAUAUUGUGUAAUUUAAAAGAAUGUUUACAUUUAACAAAUUAAAAUUUAAAAUGGAAAUACAAUGUAAUAUAACCAUGCUUUCCACAAGAUAAUUACAAUAAUUAUUCAAAA